This 1346-nucleotide ribosomal RNA is filed under the name uncultured bacterium. RNAcentral's name for it is "partial 16S ribosomal RNA". It matches the Rfam family "Bacterial small subunit ribosomal RNA", at positions 28 to 1381 of the family's 1533-position model. The record is from RNAcentral.
GACGAACGCUGGCGGCGUGCUUAACACAUGCAAGUCGAACGGAAAGGCCCUGCUUUUGUGGGGUGCUCGAGUGGCGAACGGGUGAGUAACACGUGAGUAACCUGCCCUUGACUUUGGGAUAACUUCAGGAAACUGGGGCUAAUACCGGAUAGGAGCUCCUGCUGCAUGGUGGGGGUUGGAAAGUUUCGGCGGUUGGGGAUGGACUCGCGGCUUAUCAGCUUGUUGGUGGGGUAGUGGCUUACCAAGGCUUUGACGGGUAGCCGGCCUGAGAGAGUGACCGGCCACAUUGGGACUGAGAUACGGCCCAGACUCCUACGGGAGGCAGCAGUGGGGAAUAUUGCACAAUGGGCGGAAGCCUGAUGCAGCAACGCCGCGUGCGGGAUGACGGCCUUCGGGUUGUAAACCGCUUUCGCCUGUGACGAAGCGUGAGUGACGGUAAUGGGUAAAGAAGCACCGGCUAACUACGUGCCAGCAGCCGCGGUGAUACGUAGGGUGCGAGCGUUGUCCGGAUUUAUUGGGCGUAAAGGGCUCGUAGGUGGUUGAUCGCGUCGGAAGUGUAAUCUUGGGGCUUAACCCUGAGCGUGCUUUCGAUACGGGUUGACUUGAGGAAGGUAGGGGAGAAUGGAAUUCCUGGUGGAGCGGUGGAAUGCGCAGAUAUCAGGAGGAACACCAGUGGCGAAGGCGGUUCUCUGGGCCUUUCCUGACGCUGAGGAGCGAAAGCGUGGGGAGCGAACAGGCUUAGAUACCCUGGUAGUCCACGCUGUAAACGGUGGGUACUAGGUGUGGGGUCCAUUCCACGGGUUCCGUGCCGUAGCUAACGCUUUAAGUACCCCGCCUGGGGAGUACGGCCGCAAGGCUAAAACUCAAAGGAAUUGACGGGGCCCCGCACAAGCGGCGGAGCAUGCGGAUUAAUUCGAUGCAACGCGUAGAACCUUACCUGGGUUUGACAUGGAUCGGGAGUGCUCAGAGAUGGGUGUGCCUCUUUUGGGGUCGGUUCACAGGUGGUGCAUGGCUGUCGUCAGCUCGUGUCGUGAGAUGUUGGGUUAAGUCCCGCAACGAGCGCAACCCUUGUUCACUGUUGCCAGCACGUUAUGGUGGGGACUCAGUGGAGACCGCCGGGGUCAACUCGGAGGAAGGUGGGGAUGACGUCAAGUCAUCAUGCCCCUUAUGUCCAGGGCUUCACGCAUGCUACAAUGGCUGGUACAGAGAGUGGCGAGCCUGUGAGGGUGAGCGAGUCUCGGAAAGCCGGUCUCAGUUCGGAUUGGGGUCUGCAACUCGACCUCAUGAAGUCGGAGUCGCUAGUAAUCGCAGAUCAGCAACGCUGCGGUGAAUACGUUCCCGGGGCU